RNAcentral lists this ribosomal RNA (745 nucleotides) under uncultured bacterium. RNAcentral describes it as "bacterial SSU rRNA". It matches the Rfam family "Bacterial small subunit ribosomal RNA", at positions 8 to 748 of the family's 1533-position model. The record is from RNAcentral.
AGAGUUUGAUCCUGGCUCAGAUUGAACGCUGGCGGCAGGCCUAACACAUGCAAGUCGAGCGGUAGAGAGGUGCUUGCACCUCUUGAGAGCGGCGGACGGGUGAGUAAAGCCUAGGAAUCUGCCUGGUAGUGGGGGAUAACGCUCGGAAACGGACGCUAAUACCGCAUACGUCCUACGGGAGAAAGCAGGGGACCUUCGGGCCUUGCGCUAUCAGAUGAGCCUAGGUCGGAUUAGCUAGUUGGUGAGGUAAUGGCUCACCAAGGCGACGAUCCGUAACUGGUCUGAGAGGAUGAUCAGUCACACUGGAACUGAGACACGGUCCAGACUCCUACGGGAGGCAGCAGUGGGGAAUAUUGGACAAUGGGCGAAAGCCUGAUCCAGCCAUGCCGCGUGUGUGAAGAAGGUCUUCGGAUUGUAAAGCACUUUAAGUUGGGAGGAAGGGCAUUAACCUAAUACGUUAGUGUUUUGACGUUACCGACAGAAUAAGCACCGGCUAACUCUGUGCCAGCAGCCGCGGUAAUACAGAGGGUGCAAGCGUUAAUCGGAAUUACUGGGCGUAAAGCGCGCGUAGGUGGUUCGUUAAGUUGGAUGUGAAAUCCCCGGGCUCAACCUGGGAACUGCAUUCAAAACUGUCGAGCUAGAGUAUGGUAGAGGGUGGUGGAAUUUCCUGUGUAGCGGUGAAAUGCGUAGAUAUAGGAAGGAACACCAGUGGCGAAGGCGACCACCUGGACUGAUACUGACACUG